GAUUCUGGCUCAGGAUGAACGCUGGCGGCGUGCCUAACACAUGCAAGUCGAACGGAGUAAUUAAGCGGAAGUUUCGGAUGGAAGCAUAGUACUUAGUGGCGGACGGGUGAGUAACGCGUGGGCAACCUGCCCUGUACCGGGGGAUAACACUUAGAAAUAGGUGCUAAUACCGCAUAAGCGCACAGCUUCGCAUGAAGGUGUGUGAAAAACUCCGGUGGUACAGGAUGGACCCGCGUCUGAUUAGCUAGUUGGUGGGGUAGAGGCCUACCAAGGCGACGAUCAGUAGCCGGCCUGAGAGGGUGACCGGCCACAUUGGGACUGAGACACGGCCCAAACUCCUACGGGAGGCAGCAGUGGGGAAUAUUGCACAAUGGGGGAAACCCUGAUGCCAGCGACGCCGCGUGAGUGAAGAAGUAUUUCGGUAUGUAAAGCUCUAUCAGCAGGGAAGAAAAUGACGGUACCUGACUAAGAAGCCCCGGCUAACUACGUGCCAGCCGCCGC
RNAcentral lists this ribosomal RNA (501 nucleotides) under uncultured bacterium. Its description in RNAcentral is "bacterial SSU rRNA". It matches the Rfam family "Bacterial small subunit ribosomal RNA", at positions 15 to 518 of the family's 1533-position model. The record is from RNAcentral.